RNAcentral lists this ribosomal RNA (468 nucleotides) under uncultured bacterium. Its description in RNAcentral is "partial 16S ribosomal RNA". It matches the Rfam family "Bacterial small subunit ribosomal RNA", at positions 28 to 507 of the family's 1533-position model. The record is from RNAcentral.
GACGAACGCUGGCGGCGCGCUUAACACAUGCAAGUCGAACGGAAAGGCCCUGCUUUUGUGGGGUGCUCGAGUGGCGAACGGGUGAGUAACACGUGAGUAACCUGCCCUUGACUUUGGGAUAACUUCAGGAAACUGGGGCUAAUACCGGAUAGGAGCUCCUGCUGCAUGGUGGGGGUUGGAAAGUUUCGGCGGUUGGGGAUGGACUCGCGGCUUAUCAGCUUGUUGGUGGGGUAGUGGCUUACCAAGGCUUUGACGGGUAGCCGGCCUGAGAGGGUGACCGGCCACAUUGGGACUGAGAUACGGCCCAGACUCCUACGGGAGGCAGCAGUGGGGAAUAUUGCACAAUGGGCGGAAGCCUGAUGCAGCAACGCCGCGUGCGGGAUGACGGCCUUCGGGUUGUAAACCGCUUUCGCCUGUGACGAAGCGUGAGUGGCGGUAAUGGGUAAAGAAGCACCGGCUAACUACGUG